This 372-nucleotide long non-coding RNA is filed under the name Carica papaya (papaya). RNAcentral's name for it is "long non-coding RNA (CPAP_LNC004964)". Lineage: Eukaryota; Viridiplantae; Streptophyta; Magnoliopsida; Brassicales; Caricaceae. The record is from RNAcentral.
AGGCUAACACCUACUACACCGAUUCAGUAGAACAAAAGACCUAGGCCCGCGACUCAAGCUCCUCCUUAGGUCCCAGCAAUAGGACGCGACAAGACUUCCAGUACUGUGACAAAGAUCAUGGGGACUGACCCUGCUAUCACCUCAAUAAUACAUGUUCAUAUGUGGAAGUACCCAACACUACGCGAGAAAGUGCCUCAGAAUCAAAAUCAGACCAGACCUCCAAUCUAGGGCAAAGCCUACACCCUCACCCAGUAGGAUGUUGAAGCCAACUCGGACGUGAUACAGGGUAUGUACACUAUCUGUCAUCACCUUGCGCAUAUUUUAAUUGAUAUUGGUGCUUCUCAUUCUUUUGUUUCACAUGCUUUUGUAAAA